GCCCGGAUGGUCUAGUGGUAUGAUUCGCCCUUAGGGAACAAGCCAAUUUCAAAGCAGGCUUGAACUUUGGGCGAGGUCCCCAGUUCAAUCCUGGGUUCGGGCC
Molecule: non-coding RNA, 103 nt
Organism: Ceratobasidium sp. 395
Lineage: Eukaryota; Fungi; Basidiomycota; Agaricomycetes; Cantharellales; Ceratobasidiaceae
Source: the annotation of a GenBank genome assembly